This 397-nucleotide ribosomal RNA is filed under the name uncultured bacterium. RNAcentral's name for it is "partial 16S ribosomal RNA". It matches the Rfam family "Bacterial small subunit ribosomal RNA", at positions 523 to 918 of the family's 1533-position model. The record is from RNAcentral.
AUACGUAGGUGACAAGCGUUAUCCGGCUUUACUGGGUGUAAAGGGCGUGUAGGCGGUUUAGCAAGUCAGAAGUGAAAUUCCCGGGCUUAACUUGGGCGCUGCUUCUGAAACUGCUUUACUUGAGUGCUGGAGAGGAUAGUGGAAUUCCUAGUGUAGCGGUAAAAUGCGCAGAUAUUAGGAGGAACACCGGUGGCGAAGGCGGCUACCUGGACAGUAACUGACGCUGAGGCGCGAAAGCACGGGGAGCAAACAGGAUUAGAUACCCUGGUAGUCCGUGCCGUAAACGAUGAAUACUAGGUGUAGGGGGUAUCGACUCCCUCUGUGCCGCAGUUAACACAUUAAGUAUUCCACCUGGGGAGUACGGCCGCAAGGUUGAAACUCAAAGGAAUUGACGGGG